This 250-nucleotide ribosomal RNA is filed under the name uncultured bacterium. Its description in RNAcentral is "partial 16S ribosomal RNA". It matches the Rfam family "Bacterial small subunit ribosomal RNA", at positions 355 to 622 of the family's 1533-position model. The record is from RNAcentral.
UGGGGAAUAUUGGACAAUGGGCGCAAGCCUGAUCCAGCCAUGCCGCGUGGGUGAUGAAGGCCUUCGGGUUGUAAAGCCCUUUUGGCGGGGACGAUGAUGACGGUACCCGCAGAAUAAGCCCCGGCUAACUUCGUGCCAGCAGCCGCGGUAAGACGAAGGGGGCAAGCGUUGUUCGGAAUUACUGGGCGUAAAGGGCGCGUAGGCGGCCCGAUAAGUCAGCCGUGAAAGGCCUGGGCUCAACCUGGGAAUU